CAGCAGCCGCGGUAAUACGCAGGGGGCUAGCGUUGCUCGGAAUUACUGGGCGUAAAGGGAGCGUAGGCGGGUCGUUUAGUCAGAGGUGAAAUCCCGGGGCUCAACCUCGGAACUGCCUUUGAUACUGGCGACCUUGAGUAUGGGAGAGGUAAGCGGAACUCCGAGUGUAGAGGUGAAAUUCGUAGAUAUUCGGGAGAACACCAGUGGCGAAGGCGGCUUACUGGCCCAUUACUGACGCUGAGGCUCGAAAGCGUGGGGAGCAAACAGGAUUAGAUACCCGCGUAGUCCCUGUCUCUUAUAC
This 301-nucleotide ribosomal RNA is filed under the name uncultured bacterium. RNAcentral's name for it is "partial 16S ribosomal RNA". It matches the Rfam family "Bacterial small subunit ribosomal RNA", at positions 509 to 807 of the family's 1533-position model. The record is from RNAcentral.